ACCACUGAGCCACCUUCCCAGCCCUGAAUUCUUUUUUUUAAAUAUACUGUACAGAGGGGCUGGGAAGGUGGCUCAGUGGU
Non-coding RNA from Dipodomys ordii (Ord's kangaroo rat), 80 nucleotides. NCBI's taxonomy places the organism in Eukaryota, Metazoa, Chordata, Mammalia, Rodentia, Heteromyidae. The record is from Rfam.